This 880-nucleotide unclassified non-coding RNA is filed under the name Hevea brasiliensis (rubber tree). Lineage: Eukaryota; Viridiplantae; Streptophyta; Magnoliopsida; Malpighiales; Euphorbiaceae. The record is from RNAcentral.
GAAACCGGAGGCAACCAUCACCUAGAGAUAUUCGUUUAGCACAAAACAGGCAUACUAUUCAAUUCCCUUUCGUUCCAGAAGCAUGGAUCUAAUUGACAAGGCGAAGAAUUUUGUGUCGGAGAAGAUAGCCAACAUGGAGAAACCGGAGGCAACCAUCACCGACGUCGAUCUUAAGGGGAUCGGUUUCGACGGCCUUGCUUUUCACGCUAAAGUCUCCGUUAAGAACCCUUACUCUGUUCCUAUUCCAAUCAUGGAGAUCGAUUACGUCCUCAAAAGCGCCACCAGGGUAAUCGCAUCAGGAAGAAUUCCAGACCCAGGGAGCAUAAAGGCAAAUGACUCAACCAUGUUAGAUGUGCCAGUGAAGGUUCCUCACAGUGUGCUAGUGAGUUUGGUUAGGGACAUUGGAGGAGAUUGGGACGUCGAUUAUACCCUGGAAUUGGGUCUCAUUAUUGAUAUUCCGGUCAUUGGCAACAUCACCAUUCCCCUCUCUUAUAGCGGCGAGUAUAAGCUUCCUACAUUGUCAGAUUUAUGGAAGGGUGGAAAAGAAGAAGAGAAAAAAGAAGAUGAAGAGGAGAAAGAAGAUCCAUCAAAGGUUGUUGAGAUAUGAAGAGUUAUACCUAUCUAAUAAUGUGGCUUUAAUAUGCCUAGUUUCUCUUCUGUUGUUUUAAUAACAUAAAGUUUGUUUACCUUAUAAGUAUCAUUUCAAGGAUACAAAAUGCACAACUUUAUGAAACUCACAUUACUCUUAUCUCACCUGAUUUGAUGAUAUGAAGAUUUGAUGAUGUUAGGUUUAUGUGAUUGGAUUUAUAUGGUGGAAUUUAAAUUUUGAGUCUCAGAAUCUCAAUUGUGUCACAUAAAUUGACAUAAAAUAAUAAUAAAA